AGAAAUGAUGAAAUCUGUCCACUUGUGACAACAUGAAUGGACCUUGAGGGCAUUAUGGAGAAGACAAGCUGAAAGAUGGAAGGGUGUGAAGCAGAGCGCGGCUGAACAUAAGGACAGAAAGCGCCUAGAACCUUGCAGACACAACUGAGCGGCUGCAUCAAACCUGGCUUGCCUCCUUCCAAGCUUCUCCUUAGGUGAUCAGGAGCAAGUUUCUUACUCUCUCCAAGCCCCAGUUUCUUCACCUGCAAAGAGAAGGAGAUCAGCAGUCAGGACCCAUUCCCCAGGGCCAUUGUGAGAAAUAAAUAGCAGAACAAUGGUGUUUUUGGACAUUUCUCCAAGAGUGGCCAGAAGACCAUUGCAUCAGAUGAGCACCUGGAGUCUUGUGAAAAACACAAAUUCCAUAGACAUCCUGAAUUUUAAUCUGCAGGGGUGGCGUUGGAGGGGAUGAGAAGAGAAGCCUAGGAUUCUGCAUUUUAAAGGGGCUUCUCAGGGGAUGGUUGACUGGUAAAUUUUAGGAAUCAACUACCUAGGGAAUAGCAAAAUGUUCCCUUAGAUGGGCCAAGGCCUGGGGGAUCUAUUUCUGCUGAAGCUCAUUAAGCCACUUUGGGUUUAUGUUCAUGAGGAAACCACAACCCCAAGACCCAAGUGAGGAAUAAGAACACACAGUUUUGAGAAGAGGAAUUAAGUAAUAACCAACAAUGCUUCCACAUCUAAGAAUUUUUCUAACGUUUCUCCAGUAGGAACACCACAACACGUUUACCCUCUUUCUAUCCUUACUUUGCCUGCAGCACAAGUUUUCUUACAUAUAGAUGCUCAAAAAAUGCCCAUUACAUUGACUUGAAUGUAUUCCCCUUUGAAGAGCCAUACUUUCAACAAGUACUUUCAUAUAUUUUUUACUGGUGGUGUUUGGACAAGCUUACGUGUAUACAUGGGCAAGGGGCAGAAGCGGUGGGUGAACAAAAGUGGGUUUCAUAAACAAGGGAGAUAAAACUUAGCGAGUUCCUGAGGAGACAGGUUGUAGCAGGAAACAUAACUACAAGUUCUCAUUUUGGUUUACUUCCUCUCUUGCCUUGGGAUCUUAAGCAAGCUACUUUCAUUUCUCUAUUUCAACUGGGCCUCUUUUUUUUUUUUUUCUUUUUUUAAGGAAUAUGCUUUGUGGAAUUAUUUUAAGAAGUAACUAAUACGAGAUCGGAAAGCACCUUUUCCUCUUAGCCAAAAUUGUGCACAAGAGAAUCUCCACCAUCUGGGCCAGUUCAAUGAAAGAAGUGAAUUUUCCUUUUUUUCUCUUUCCUUCCUCCUUUCUAUAAAGUUCAUUCACUUAGUAAAUGUUUACUGAGAAUUCAUUAUAUGCUAGAAGCUGUGAAGACUUCUGGGACAGCAAACAAGACAUAGUUACUCCCCGCUAUGAUUGGAAAAGCUAGAGCAUUAAGGGUCUGAAAAGAGAAGUUGAAGGAUCAGAGAAAAGUCACUAGCCCUCCUGUAGUGCUGGCACAGGUGGGCCAGAUGGAGCUUGCAAAGUCUUCCGGGAAGCCAGGCACUUCAGCUGUCAGAGUGGAACCGUCCAGCCUGGAGACUCUGUUGGUCAGCAGGGCCUGCACUUGAGAGAAGAGCUGGGUGUAAAGCAGGGGAGAGCAAGGACAUACGGAACCUGCCACCAGUAUGGCGGAGAGUGGGGACAAGCUGGGAUAUGCCAGCCUCUCUGCGUGCUUCUCCCAGAGCAUGCUGCUUUAAGUCCUAGUACCAAAUAGGGAGAGAAUCUACCUACCAAAUCUCAUGCCAGCUUCUUUUUUUUCCAACUCUAACAUGAAUCAUGCAAGAAAGGGGAUUCUGGGAACAGUAGUUCCAACUAGUCCAAAUUAACACCAUACAUAUGAGGAGCUGGCUAAAAAAGUGAUGAAAGUUCGCCAGGAGGCCAACACACAAUUGAAAGUGGAAAAAUCAAUGUUAAGAUUGUGAGCAAAAGUGCUUGUUUAGGUCACAAGCUGUUUGUAAGUCCUCAAGACUUCUCUAAGUGGUCUCGUGUGUCAGCGCUAGAAUUGUCCUACCCACGGCAACUGCUACAUAAUGUGAGGGUAGAAGUCAGCUGGUAAAUGUAAGGCCAAUACCCCAACACAGCAACCACAGGUGCAACAGUUUAGGAAGAUCACUGGGUUUUUAUAUCUCCGGGUGACACAACAGUUAUUAACAAUCACUUUAAAUUUUAAUUUUUUGUCACAUGCAGAUUUAUGAGGUAUGGAAUGCUCAUCUGUUCAAACAUUUGUUAAUGCUUCUUGUAUGCCACAGCAAAGAAAAGUGAAACAUCCUACUGGCCUCUGCAUGAACCAAACACACACCCUUCCACCAGCUUUUGCUUACCGUACAUCAAAUUCCCUGCCCGACCGUGCCAGAUUCCCCACAAGGUUUACAAGAAAUAAAACCUGGGGAUAAGGGAGAGAGAAAGAGCCACAUGACAAAGUCACAGGCUCUGAGGUUUCAUAGACAAUCCAGAAGAACUGGUCAUAACUCCUUAAAUUAAGGUGAUUUGGUUAAAAAUAGCAGAACUUCCAGGGAACUAGCUCCAAUCUAAAGGGGGAUUUAUAAUGAGGACAGUGGCUCAUCUCACGAGACACAAGGGCAGGAAUGCAGCCAGCCUUCAUCAGGGACGGAAACCGAGAAAUGAAGUCAGGAGCACCCCAGCCCAUUUCAUUUCUGCUUCUCUCUGUGCAUUUGCUCCUUCUCCCGCCAGGCUGUUGUCUCUGUUCCUCAAAGCACAAGAUGGAAUACAGCUGCCUCUCUUGAGUUUGAAGUUAUAGUUUGAAGCCAUUGGAGACUGACUUUCUUUAAGUCCUAAUGAUGUGGAUUAAGGCUGCCCCAGCUAGAGAAGCCCAAGGUGACCUGGCCUACAUGCCAAACUAUACGAC
Molecule: long non-coding RNA, 2900 nt
Organism: Equus caballus (horse)
Lineage: Eukaryota; Metazoa; Chordata; Mammalia; Perissodactyla; Equidae
Source: RefSeq, a predicted model, not a curated record